UGAGCCACGAACUCCCCCAAAGAACCUGGGGGAAAGAACCACCCGCCCUCCCUCCCCUCCCCCGCAUCACCCGGACGAGUGACUGGCUUGCGGGGGUGGGAAGUUGGCGGUUACGUUCGCGGCAACAACCCCAGACAUAUGACGGCCCCCGGCCGGGACGGCAAUCCCGAUCGAGGGCCUCACCGAUCAGGAAGAGACACCUUCCCG
RNAcentral lists this non-coding RNA (207 nucleotides) under Streptomyces pristinaespiralis ATCC 25486. Its description in RNAcentral is "Streptomyces sRNA 4677". It matches the Rfam family "Streptomyces sRNA 4677". Rfam says of the family: Located in the intergenic region between anti-sigma factor SCO4677 gene and a putative regulatory protein gene SCO4676. scr4677 expression requires the SCO4677 activity and scr4677 sRNA itself seem to affect the levels of the SCO4676-associated transcripts. The record is from Rfam by way of RNAcentral. Lineage: Bacteria; Bacillati; Actinomycetota; Actinomycetes; Kitasatosporales; Streptomycetaceae.